AGUGAACGUUGGCGGCGUGGAUUAGGCAUGCAAGUCGAGCGAGAACCGUAGCAAUACGGGGACAGCGGCGAAAGGGACAGUAAUAUGUAGGUACCUACCCUCGGGUCCGGGAUAGCUGCGGGAAACUGCAGGUAAUACCGGAUGACAUCUCCGGAUCAAAGGUGUGAUUCCGCCCGGGGAGGGGCCUGCAUCCUAUUAGCUAGUUGGUGGGGUAACGGCUCACCAAGGCGACGAUGGGUAGCGGGUGUGAGAGCAUGACCCGCGUCAUUGGGACUGAGACACUGCCCAGACACCUACGGGUGGCUGCAGUCGAGAAUCAUCGGCAAUGGGGGAAACCCUGACCGAGCGACGACGCGUGCGGGAUGAAGGCCCUCGGGUUGUAAACCGCUGUCGUAGAGGAGGAAAUGCAGGGGGGUUCUCCCCUCUGUUUGACCUAGUCUAGGAGGAAGGACGGGCUAAGUUCGUGCCAGCCGCCGCAGUAA
Molecule: ribosomal RNA, 482 nt
Filed under: uncultured bacterium
Lineage: Bacteria
Description: partial 16S ribosomal RNA
Rfam family: Bacterial small subunit ribosomal RNA
Source: RNAcentral